RNAcentral lists this ribosomal RNA (253 nucleotides) under uncultured bacterium. RNAcentral describes it as "partial 16S ribosomal RNA". It matches the Rfam family "Bacterial small subunit ribosomal RNA", at positions 524 to 776 of the family's 1533-position model. The record is from RNAcentral.
GACGUAGGAGGCGAGCGUUGUCCGGAUUCAUUGGGCGUAAAGAGCACGCAGGCGGUUUGGCAAGUCGGAUGUGAAAACCCGAAGCUCAACUUCGGGCCUGCAGUGGGUACGGGCAGACUAGAGUGUGGUAGGGGAGACUGGAAUUCCUGGUGUAGCGGUGGAAUGCGCAGAUAUCAGGAGGAACACCGAUGGCGAAGGCAGGUCUCUGGGCCACUACUGACGCUGAGAAGCGAAAGCAUGGGGAGCGAACAGG